Molecule: ribosomal RNA, 449 nt
Filed under: uncultured bacterium
Lineage: Bacteria
Description: partial 16S ribosomal RNA
Rfam family: Bacterial small subunit ribosomal RNA
Source: RNAcentral
AACGAACGCUGGCGGCAUGCCUAACACAUGCAAGUCGAACGAGAUCUUCGGGUCUAGUGGCGCACGGGUGCGUAACGCGUGGGAAUCUGCCCUUUGGUUCGGAAUAACAGUUGGAAACGACUGCUAAUACCGGAUGAUUACGAAAGUCCAAAGAUUUAUCGCCAGAGGAUGAGCCCGCGUAGGAUUAGCUAGUUGGUGUGGUAAGAGCGCACCAAAGCGACGAUCCUUAGCUGGUCUGAGAGGAUGAUCAGCCACACUGGGACUGAGACACGGCCCAGACUCCUACGGGAGGCAGCAGUGGGGAAUAUUGGACAAUGGGCGAAAGCCUGAUCCAGCAAUGCCGCGUGAGUGAUGAAGGCCUUAGGGUUGUAAAGCUCUUUUACCCGGGAUGAUAAUGACAGUACCGGGAGAAUAAGCUCCGGCUAACUCCGUGCCAGCCGCCGCCGUAA